Molecule: unclassified non-coding RNA, 731 nt
Filed under: Hevea brasiliensis (rubber tree)
Lineage: Eukaryota; Viridiplantae; Streptophyta; Magnoliopsida; Malpighiales; Euphorbiaceae
Source: RNAcentral
AGCCAUAUACAUGGUUUUCUCCUCGUAUCCAAUUCGAGCCAAGUUAGCAAUCAAAACUGCCCAGACAAAGUAUCCUGGAGCAAAGUAAUCUGCAGCAACAAGUCCACUAACUGGCCUAACUCUAAUACCAGGAGGAUCCAUCCCAGUUUCAUUAUCUAAUGUCAUGUGGUUCACCCAGCAUAGUGGUCUUUUGUACACUUCUCCAAAAGUCCCGCCCCAAAGCCGCUUCCGAAACAAUCCUUCAGCACACUGAUGUCCUUCCCACAGUUCAAGUCCACACGUGACAAUUCCAGGAAUAAAUACCACCGGAUGCUUAGCCUUCAACCCUUCCUUCUGCAACUUGAUGCCCGGUGGAUCAGGUAACGGGCCUGUAAUCGCCUCCGUAACAUACUGCGGGAACGACGCCGGCAUAGCAUUGUAUAAAAACAACAAAAUCCACCACACACAACAUAUGCAUCCUACGAACCAACAGCAAUUAUCGAUACACGACCAUUUCUUCUUCUUUCCAGACUUCACAUUCUUCUUCCUACUCUUCUUAUCGUCUUCUUCCGCAUCAAGCUUUGGCUCCACAUCCGGUUGAAUUUCAUUUUCAGGUGCUUUUCUUCUUCGUAAUAACGACAUCUCUUUAUCUUUUAUUUUACUUCAAUUAACAUAACAUACGGAGAGAGCUUCCUAUAUUCUAUAAGAACAGAGACCACCGGAAGCCGCCGCCGGCAACGGCUGAAGUAUCG